GACGAACGCUGGCGGCGUGCUUAACACAUGCAAGUCGAACGGGCCCGCCCCUGUUUUUGGGGGUGGGUUGAGUGGCGAACGGGUGAGUAUCACGUGAGUAACCUGCCCCCUGCUCCUGGAUAGCUGCUUGAAAGGGCGGCUAAUACGGGGUGUGCCGGCUGGUCCGCAUGGGCCUGGUCGGGAUAGUUUCAUCUUCGGGUGUUUCGGUGGGGGAUGGGCUCGCGGCCUAUCAGCUUGUUGGUGGGGUGAUGGCCCACCAAGGCGGUGACGGGUAGCCGGCCUGAGAGGGUGGGCGGCCACACUGGGACUGAGACACGGCCCAGACUCCUGCGGGAGGCAGCAGUGGGGGGUAUUGCACAAUGGGCGGAAGCCUGAUGCAGCGACGUCGCGUGAGGGAUGGAGGCCUUCGGGUUGUGAACCUCUUUCUCCGGUGGUGAAGGCCCUGUCCGUUGCGGCGGGGUUGACGGUAGCCGGGUAUGAAGCGCCGGCUAACUACGUG
Molecule: ribosomal RNA, 499 nt
Filed under: uncultured bacterium
Lineage: Bacteria
Description: partial 16S ribosomal RNA
Rfam family: Bacterial small subunit ribosomal RNA
Source: RNAcentral